RNAcentral lists this ribosomal RNA (351 nucleotides) under Pseudoalteromonas sp. MSK9-3. Its description in RNAcentral is "bacterial LSU rRNA". It matches the Rfam family "Bacterial large subunit ribosomal RNA", at positions 1 to 390 of the family's 2925-position model. The record is from RNAcentral. Lineage: Bacteria; Pseudomonadati; Pseudomonadota; Gammaproteobacteria; Alteromonadales; Pseudoalteromonadaceae.
GUUGUAUGGUUAAGUGACUAAGCGUAUACGGUGGAUGCCUUGGCAGUUGGAGGCGAUGAAGGACGUACUAACUUGCGAUAAGCCUAGUUGAGCCAGUAAGAGGCGCUUGAGACUAGGAUUUCCGAAUGGGGAAACCCACCUGCUUUGCAGGUAUCAUAUGGUGAAUACAUAGCCAUAUGAGGCGAACGCGGAGAACUGAAACAUCUAAGUACCCGUAGGAAAAGAAAUCAACCGAGAUUCCGAAAGUAGCGGCGAGCGAAAUCGGAACAGCCCUUAAGCUGUUUUGUAAUUAGUGGAAGGCUCUGGAAAGUGCCACGAUACAGGGUGAUAGUCCCGUACACAAAAAUUUAU